AGAGGGGAGCUUGUGUGACAGGCUGAGAGGAAGGAUCUAUACCUUCGACCCAUAACCUGAUUUGGAUAAUGCCAACGUAGGGAUGCCU
Molecule: non-coding RNA, 88 nt
Filed under: bovine gut metagenome
Source: RNAcentral